RNAcentral lists this long non-coding RNA (886 nucleotides) under Manacus vitellinus (golden-collared manakin). RNAcentral describes it as "lncRNA (ENSMVIG00005013247.1)". The record is from RNAcentral. Lineage: Eukaryota; Metazoa; Chordata; Aves; Passeriformes; Pipridae.
CUGGCUUCCUGCAGUUUCUCUUGCAAAUUAGCAAUGUUCUCUGCUUUCUGGGCUCCUUUUUGGUCCUGUUUUCUCACAUCCAGCCUUUCUAUCACCUCCUCCUCACCCCUGGUGCUGAGGCCUCCACUGCUGCUACCCAGCAGCUCAGUUGAUGCCACGACCAUCUGGGGACCUGCACAGUGUUCCCCACCUCCUGGAGAGCCAUGCAGGAAGGGUGGAGUUGGGCAUGUAGCAGCCUGGCUACAUGCCAUCUGUCACCCGGAAUAUGCUUGUCCUCCAUCAGUGAAGUGUGCCUUGUGUGAUGGGAAUGACUGAGCAGACAUUUAGGAUGACUCUUGAUAAAACAAUGACCACAGAACACUCCUGUAACUCUUCAGACCGUGUUUACAGCCAAGACGUUAAGAUGGCAACAUGGGAUAAUUUGAAGAUGAUCUGUAAUAACAACAAAGAACUUCAAGUUUCAAACCUCCUUAAAAAAGUGGACUCGAUUUCCCCAAAAAAAAAAGUGUGUACAUUCCUUAGUCAAGUUAAUAUAAAGUGUGAUAAUCAAUCCUCUCACCAAACAAUAGUUGGUGUUCUGUCAUUUGUCUUAUUGUACACAGGAACUCAUGCAAAACUGAAACAGCAAUGUGGGUCGGUUGUUAAGGAGCUCGUAGAUCUAAAAUUUGAGCUCAGGCCACAAGAUCACAUGUACAGCAACAGAACCGAUUCUUUGAUGCAUUGUGACCAACAAGUUAAAAAUUUGCUUAGGAGAGAUCAUUAAAUCCCACAGAAUACAUUGAAUCCUUUUUUUGACUUCCAUUUAGUCAUUAUACUUUUUAUUAAUAACUUAUUUUCCUUUGAAAACAGGAAUAAAAAGAGCUGAAUCUUGGUUAAAGUAGCUUCA